RNAcentral lists this transfer RNA (72 nucleotides) under Enterococcus faecalis. Its description in RNAcentral is "tRNA-Cys". It matches the Rfam family "tRNA". Rfam says of the family: Transfer RNA (tRNA) molecules are approximately 80 nucleotides in length. Their secondary structure includes four short double-helical elements and three loops (D, anti-codon, and T loops). RNAcentral also lists the same sequence under 4 other names. Lineage: Bacteria; Bacillati; Bacillota; Bacilli; Lactobacillales; Enterococcaceae. The record is from RNAcentral.
GGAGAUAUCGCCAAGUGGUUAAGGCAUUGGUCUGCAAAACCAAUAUCAUCGGUUCAAAUCCGAUUAUCUCCU